Molecule: long non-coding RNA, 656 nt
Organism: Ictalurus punctatus (channel catfish)
Lineage: Eukaryota; Metazoa; Chordata; Actinopteri; Siluriformes; Ictaluridae
Exons: 3
Source: RefSeq, a predicted model, not a curated record
UCUUCUCCAGCUGUGAAUUAUAAACUCAAACGGUACUAAAUGUUUCGCCGGGAUGUUCAGGUUGAGGUGAGAUCCACGCAGGCAGAUCCGCACAGAGCUCCACGCAGGACUGAAGCAAGAGGCAGAAACUGAAGCCCUUUUUUUGUGUCCAUGAGGGACCAUCCACGGCAGCGGGACGUGAGUCACACGUCACAUGCGGAAAGCUCCACGCAGGACGAAGGCCGAGACGAGCCACAGCUCCUCUAGACGUGUCUCAUUAGUCCGUAAUGACCAGUCAGGCCUUUCACAACAUGAAAUAACGCCGCUUCCUGAUCGGUCAUCGUGAGUGAAAACGCUCUAUCGGAGACGCCCGGACCGAAGACGCUCUCCGGACCGAUUUUCCACCAAAACAAUUCACUCAAGGUAUCGAAAUGCAUCUUUACAUCUUAACAUCGAGAAGUGCUUUUUGUACUUUAAAGGGUAGACUACUUUACACAGCAUCUCCGUUCGAAGUCACGUCGAAGGUCGCGUUCUUCAUUUUAAGCGCGAGAGACAGAAUCGAGCUCUUUCUCGCCUCUACGCUUCUUUUUCGCCUCCACUGUGCUGUAGGGAGUAUGGAAUCUAUUCCAGGCGGGGGAGACAUCCUGGACGGGGUCCCAACACAUCAGAGGGCACAU